AUUGAACGCUGGCGGCAUGCCUUACACAUGCAAGUCGAACGGUAACAGGUCUUCAGAUGCUGACGAGUGGCGAACGGGUGAGUAAUACAUCGGAACGUGCCCGAUCGUGGGGGAUAACGAGGCGAAAGCUUUGCUAAUACCGCAUACGAUCUACGGAUGAAAGCGGGGGAUCUUCGGACCUCGCGCGGACGGAGCGGCCGAUGGCAGAUUAGGUAGUUGGUGGGAUAAAAGCUUACCAAGCCGACGAUCUGUAGCUGGUCUGAGAGGAUGAUCAGCCACACUGGGACUGAGACACGGCCCAGACUCCUACGGGAGGCAGCAGUGGGGAAUUUUGGACAAUGGGCGAAAGCCUGAUCCAGCCAUGCCGCGUGCAGGAUGAAGGCCUUCGGGUUGUAAACUGCUUUUGUACGGAACGAAAAGCCUCUUUCUAAUAAAGAGGGGUCAUGACGGUACCGUAAGAAUAAGCACCGGCUAACUACGUG
This 482-nucleotide ribosomal RNA is filed under the name uncultured bacterium. RNAcentral describes it as "partial 16S ribosomal RNA". It matches the Rfam family "Bacterial small subunit ribosomal RNA", at positions 30 to 507 of the family's 1533-position model. The record is from RNAcentral.